Molecule: ribosomal RNA, 406 nt
Filed under: uncultured bacterium
Lineage: Bacteria
Description: partial 16S ribosomal RNA
Rfam family: Bacterial small subunit ribosomal RNA
Source: RNAcentral
AUUGAACGCUGGCGGCAGGCCUAACACAUGCAAGUCGAGCGGAGCGGCGGACGGGUGAGUAAUGCCUAGGAAUCUGCCUGGUAGUGGGGGAUAACGUCCGGAAACGGGCGCUAAUACCGCAUACUAGCAGAUGAGCCUAGGUCGGAUUAGCUAGUUGGUGGGGUAAAGGCCUACCAAGGCGACGAUCCGUAACUGGUCUGAGAGGAUGAUCAGUCACACUGGAACGGAGACACGGUCCAGACUCCUACGGGAGGCAGCAGUGGGGAAUAUGGGAAAAUGGGCGAAAGCCUGAUCCAGCCAGGCCGGGUGUGUGAAGAAGGUCUUCGGAUUGUAAAGCAUUUUAAGUUGGGAGGCGUUACCAACAGAAUAAGCACCGGCUAACCUCGUGCCAGCCGCCGCGUAAUUC